UUGGAACGGAUCCUUCGGGUGAAGUUCCAUUUGACUGAGCGGCGGACGGGUGAGUAACGCGUGGGUAACCUGCCUCAUACAGGGGAAUAACAGUUUGAAAAGACUGCUAAUGCCGCAUAAGCGCACAGGGCCGCAUGGCCCGGUGUGAAAAACUCCGGUGGUAUGAGAUGGACCCGCGUCUGAUUAGCUAGUUGGUGAGGUAACGGCCCACCAAGGCGACGAUCAGUAGCCGACCUGAGAGGGUGACCGGCCACAUUGGGACUGAGACACGGCCCAAACUCC
RNAcentral lists this ribosomal RNA (282 nucleotides) under uncultured Lachnospiraceae bacterium. RNAcentral's name for it is "partial 16S ribosomal RNA". The stretch from base 44 to 282 matches the Rfam family "Bacterial small subunit ribosomal RNA", at positions 100 to 339 of the family's 1533-position model. Lineage: Bacteria; Bacillati; Bacillota; Clostridia; Lachnospirales; Lachnospiraceae. The record is from RNAcentral.